RNAcentral lists this ribosomal RNA (442 nucleotides) under uncultured bacterium. RNAcentral's name for it is "partial 16S ribosomal RNA". It matches the Rfam family "Bacterial small subunit ribosomal RNA", at positions 338 to 795 of the family's 1533-position model. The record is from RNAcentral.
CCUACGGGGAGCAGCAGUGGGGAAUAUUGGGCAAUGGGCGCAAGCCUGACCCAGCAACGCCGCGGGAAGGAAGAAGGCUUUCGGGUUGUAAACUUCUGUUAAGAGGGAAGAGCAGAAGACGGUACCUCUGGAAUAAGCCAGGGCUAACGACGGGCCAGCAGCCGCGGUAAUACGGAGGUGGCAAGCGUUGUCCGGAUUUACGGGGUGUAAAGGGCGUGCAGCCGGGAAGACCAGUCAGAGGUGAAAUCCCGCGGCUCAACCGCGGAACUGCAUUUGAAACUGUUUUUCUUGAGUACCGGAGCGGUCAUCGGCCUUCCUUGUGUAGCGGUGCAAUGCGUCGAUAUUAGGAAGAACACCAGUGGCGAAGGCGGCUGACUGGACGGCAACUGCCGGUGAGGCGCGAACGCGUGGGGAGCAAACAGGAUUAGAUACCCGGGUCGUC